RNAcentral lists this ribosomal RNA (347 nucleotides) under uncultured bacterium. RNAcentral's name for it is "bacterial SSU rRNA". It matches the Rfam family "Bacterial small subunit ribosomal RNA", at positions 917 to 1267 of the family's 1533-position model. The record is from RNAcentral.
GGGCCCGCACAAGCAGUGGAGCAUGUGGUUUAAUUCGAUGAUACGCGAGGAACCUUACCAGGGCUUAAAUGUAACGGGACAGAUCUAGAGAUAGAUCCUUCUUCGGACUCAUUACAAGGUGCUGCAUGGUUGUCGUCAGCUCGUGCCGUGAGGUGUCAGGUUAAGUCCUAUAACGAGCGCAACCCCCAUCGUUAGUUGCCAACGAGUAAUGUCGGGAACUCUAACGAAACUGCCGGUGCAAACCGUGAGGAAGGUGGGGAUGACGUCAAAUCAUCACGGCCCUUACGUCCUGGCUACACACGUGCUACAAUGGUCGGUACAGAGAGCAGCCACUACGCGAGCUUCAG